RNAcentral lists this ribosomal RNA (478 nucleotides) under uncultured bacterium. RNAcentral describes it as "partial 16S ribosomal RNA". It matches the Rfam family "Bacterial small subunit ribosomal RNA", at positions 28 to 523 of the family's 1533-position model. The record is from RNAcentral.
GGCGAACGCUGGCGGCGUGCUUAACACAUGCAAGUCGAACGGUAAGGCCCUUCGGGGUACACGAGUGGCGAACGGGUGAGUAACACGUGGGUGAUCUGCCCUGCACCUCGGGAUAAGCCUGGGAAACUGGGUCUAAUACCGGAUAGGACCCUGGGAUGCAUGUCCUGGGGUGGAAAGCUUUUGCGGUGUGGGAUGGGCCCGCGGGCUAUCAGCUUGUUGGCGGGGUGAUGGCCUACCAAGGCGACGACGGGCAGCCGGCCUGAGAGGGUGACCGGCCACACGGGGACUGAGAUCCGGCCAAUGCUCCAACGGUGGGCAGCAGGGGUGAAUAUUGCACAAUGGGCGCAAGCCUGAUGCAGCGACGCCGCGUGAGGGAUGGCGGCCUUCGGGUUGUAAACCUCUUUCAGCACCGACGAAGCGCAAGUGACGGUAGGUGCAGAAGAAGGACCGGACAACUACGUGCCAGCCGCCGCCGUAA